AAAGUCUGAACUUGCAGAGAUAGUCCCACAAGAGAAAUCACCAAAAGGUAAUGCUUCAUUUUUCAGGUCAUCAUCCUUCUUGCCAUUUCUCCCCCGUUCAUUUUUCAAUGGAUGUGGCUCAGUACGCACGUGUUCCAUUGUGAUUUUGCUGUUCCAUAGCUUCCAUUCAACCAAUGCCACCGAGUCCAAGGUAUUCUACCUCAAGAUGAAGGGCGACUACCACAGGUAUACUGUUAUCGCUAGCAGAUCUAGACCAUGCAAGUUGUGGUUUGUAGAGAUCAAAACUUAAGAUCUGUGUGUAGAUAUUUGUCUAGACAAUGGGAGCGACAGGAUGCUGGUUUUUAGUAAGGUUGGUUGCUUAUCUAUGAAUUUGCCUGUAUGAUGCAUGAUCCUGUGCUGUCUCCUGUAGUACAUGGUUGAAAUAUAAAUUUGUGUUCCAUGUUUUUUACCCGCCCCCUACACGUAUCUCUUGGAUAUCUGAUUUCUAC
Molecule: long non-coding RNA, 488 nt
Filed under: Zea mays
Lineage: Eukaryota; Viridiplantae; Streptophyta; Magnoliopsida; Poales; Poaceae
Description: long non-coding RNA (ZMAY_LNC004229)
Source: RNAcentral